CCAAGAGCCGCCUAGAGCCGAAGUCCUGUUAGUCGCCUCUGACUGGGUACCAACCCCCUAUUACUCUGCAGGCGCGUGAAGGAGAAGGAAACUCGCUGGGACCGUGCAGGUUGGUGGAAGCUGCUUGGAAGGCGAUGUGGGUGGGAGAGGGCCAAGAGCACCUCGCAUCCAAGUUUGGCGAAUAUGGGCUAUGUCCCUUUCUCACCUACUUUUUAAAUAUCUACUGGACCCGCAUCUCACCCUCGGUUCUUUUAGUAGGGAGAAGUGGCAGGCUUCAGGUUGGGGUGAGGUGGGUGAACUGCGAUUGCACAAAAUCCAAGCAAAGAAAGAACCGCCGAUCCAGGCAUCGCGUCCCGGGUGCUGGUCUGUCCCCCAAGCACUCCGUGCCGUCGGUCCCCUGUCUGUUAUAGGUCUCCGCUGGAGCCUAGACUUGAGAAGAAGCAACCCGCCUUGGUUGGAACCUUGCUGCAGGUUUGAAGGUGGGAUUCAUCCUGAUCCUAAAGUCUGACAUCGCUUUUCGAUUGUCCUUCUGCCAGACUCGGUCCACCUAUCUCCGUGGAGGGAAUACAGCAGAAGCCACCAGAAGAAAAAAGGAAUUCAAUUGGUUUUUGUAGAGGUUAGUUAGAAAACAUGCAGUGUUCUGGGGGUGGGUAGGAGGAGGAGAGAAAGGAGGCGGUGGUAAAGAAGCCUACAUGAGGGUUAUCUGUUCCUUUCACCUGCCUACCUAUCAAGUGAGAGCCUCAUCUACUGUCUAUCUCUGAGAAUCCUGGAAGCAUAAAGGUAGAUCCUGAGGGUAGAUAUGGGAAGGGAGUAAAGAACAAUGAGAUCAUUCCCUAAUAAUCCAACUUUCUCAGGGAGAAUUCGAACGAACACCUACCUGUCUAGGCAGGUACUAACCCAGUCACAGCUCAGAGCUCUAAUGCCAUUUCUCUCACUCUUAGAUUCAUGACAAGAAUCGCAGAAGCCUAGGAGAGGCUGAAGAUUACUAGCCUGACCUAUUAAUCCACACAUCCCCUGACCGUUCUCUUCAAUCAGGUGAAGAAAGGCCCUCUUCUUUCUGGCCACA
RNAcentral lists this long non-coding RNA (1066 nucleotides) under Mus spicilegus (steppe mouse). RNAcentral's name for it is "lncRNA (ENSMSIG00000018906.1)". The record is from RNAcentral. Lineage: Eukaryota; Metazoa; Chordata; Mammalia; Rodentia; Muridae.